AAAAAAGGUAAGCUACUAAGAGCGAAUGGUGGAUGCCUUGACUGGUAAAGGCGAUGAAGGACGUACUAGACUGCGAUAAGCUACGGGGAGCUGUCAAGAAGCUUUGAUCCGUAGAUUUCCGAAUGGGGCAACCCAAUGUAUAGAGAUAUACAUUACCUAUAUAGGAGCGAACGAGGGGAAUUGAAACAUCUUAGUACCCUCAGGAAAAGAAAUCAAUAGAGAUUGCGUCAGUAGCGGCGAGCGAAAGCGCAAGAGGGCAAACCCAGUGCUUGCACUGGGGGUUGUAGGACUGCAAUGUGCAAGAGCUGAGUUUAGCAGAACAUUCUGGAAAGUAUAGCCAUAGAGGGUGAUAGUCCCGUAUGCGAAAAACAAAGCUUAGCUAGCAGUAUCCUGAGUAGGGCGGGACACGAGGAAUCCUGUCUGAAUCCGGGUCGACCACGAUCCAACCCUAAAUACUAAUACCAGAUCGAUAGUGCACAAGUACCGUGAGGGAAAGGUGAAAAGAACUGAGGUGAUCAGAGUGAAAUAGAACCUGAAACCAUUUGCUUACAAUCAUUCAGAGCACUAUGUAGCAAUACAGUGUGAUGGACUGCCUUUUGCAUAAUGAGCCUGCGAGUUGUGGUGUCUGGCAAGGUUAAGCAAACGCGAAGCCGUAGCGAAAGCGAGUCUGAAUAGGGCGCUUAGUCAGAUGCUGCAGACCCGAAACGAAGUGAUCUAUCCAUGAGCAAGUUGAAGCUAGUGUAAGAACUAGUGGAGGACUGAACCCAUAGGCGUUGAAAAGCCCCGGGAUGACUUGUGGAUAGGGGUGAAAGGCCAAUCAAACUUCGUGAUAGCUGGUUCUCUCCGAAAUAUAUUUAGGUAUAGCGUUGUGUCGUAAUAUAAGGGGGUAGAGCACUGAAUGGGCUAGGGCAUACACCAAUGUACCAAACCCUAUCAAACUCCGAAUACCUUAUAUGUAAUCACAGCAGUCAGGCGGCGAGUGAUAAAAUCCGUCGUCAAGAGGGAAACAACCCAGACUACCAGCUAAGGUCCCUAAAUCUUACUUAAGUGGAAAACGAUGUGAAGUUACUUAAACAACCAGGAGGUUGGCUUAGAAGCAGCCAUCCUUUAAAGAAAGCGUAAUAGCUCACUGGUCUAGUGAUUUUGCGCGGAAAAUAUAACGGGGCUAAAGUAAGUACCGAAGCUGUAGACUUGCGCACAACUUAGAUUAUUUAAGUUUAGAAUAUGAGAAACUAAGUUAUAUUUUUACUGAUUUUUAUAGAGUAAAGAUAGAAAUAAAACUUAGUAAAAUCAGUAAAAAUAUUCUUAGGCUAAAGUUAAGUAGUUUAAGUUGUGUGCAAGUGGUAGGAGAGCGUUCUAUUUGCGUCGAAGGUAUACCGGUAAGGAGUGCUGGAGCGAAUAGAAGUGAGCAUGCAGGCAUGAGUAGCGAUAAUUAAUGUGAGAAUCAUUAACGCCGUAAACCCAAGGUUUCCUACGCGAUGCUCGUCAUCGUAGGGUUAGUCGGGUCCUAAGUCGAGUCCGAAAGGGGUAGACGAUGGCAAAUUGGUUAAUAUUCCAAUACCAACAUUAGUGUGCGAUGGAAGGACGCUUAGGGCUAAGGGGGCUAGCGGAUGGAAGUGCUAGUCUAAGGUCGUAGGAGGUUAUACAGGCAAAUCCGUAUAACAAUACUCCGAGAACUGAAAGGCUUUUUGAAGUCUUCGGAUGGAUAGAAGAACCCCUGAUGCCGUCGAGCCAAGAAAAGUUUCUAAGUUUAGCUAAUGUUGCCCGUACCGUAAACCGACACAGGUGGGUGGGAUGAGUAUUCUAAGGCGCGUGGAAGAACUCUCUUUAAGGAACUCUGCAAAAUAGCACCGUAUCUUCGGUAUAAGGUGUGGUUAGCUUCGUACUAGGAUUUACUCCGAAAGCGAAGAAACUUACAACAAAGAGUCCCUCCCGACUGUUUACCAAAAACACAGCACUCUGCUAACUCGUAAGAGGAUGUAUAGGGUGUGACGCCUGCCCGGUGCUCGAAGGUUAAUUGAUGGGGUUAGCAUUAGCGAAGCUCUUGAUCGAAGCCCGAGUAAACGGCGGCCGUAACUAUAACGGUCCUAAGGUAGCGAAAUUCCUUGUCGGUUAAAUACCGACCUGCAUGAAUGGCGUAACGAGAUGGGAGCUGUCUCAAAGAGGGAUCCAGUGAAAUUGUAGUGGAGGUGAAAAUUCCUCCUACCCGCGGCAAGACGGAAAGACCCCGUGGACCUUUACUACAGCUUGACACUGCUAUUUGGAUAAGAAUGUGCAGGAUAGGU
Molecule: ribosomal RNA, 2285 nt
Filed under: Campylobacter jejuni
Lineage: Bacteria; Pseudomonadati; Campylobacterota; Epsilonproteobacteria; Campylobacterales; Campylobacteraceae
Description: partial 23S ribosomal RNA
Rfam family: Bacterial large subunit ribosomal RNA
Source: RNAcentral